This 253-nucleotide ribosomal RNA is filed under the name uncultured bacterium. RNAcentral describes it as "partial 16S ribosomal RNA". It matches the Rfam family "Bacterial small subunit ribosomal RNA", at positions 524 to 776 of the family's 1533-position model. The record is from RNAcentral.
UACGUAGGGGGCAAGCGUUGUCCGGAUUUAUUGGGCGUAAAGAGCGUGUAGGCGGCCAAGCAGGUCAGCUGUGAAAACUCGAGGCUCAACCUCGAGACGUCGGUUGAAACCGCUUGGCUAGAGUCCGGAAGAGGAGAGUGGAAUUCCCGGUGUAGCGGUGAAAUGCGCAGAUAUCGGGAAGAACACCCGUGGCGAAGGCGGCACUCUGGGACGGUACUGACGCUGAGACGCGAAAGCGUGGGGAGCGAACAGG